Megalobrama amblycephala (Wuchang bream) is the source of this 2265-nucleotide long non-coding RNA. RefSeq lists it as uncharacterized. The record is from RefSeq and is a predicted model, not a curated record. The transcript has 6 exons. NCBI's taxonomy places the organism in Eukaryota, Metazoa, Chordata, Actinopteri, Cypriniformes, Xenocyprididae.
GGCAAACAACUUACUGGUGCAUUACCGCCACCAACUGAUAUGGAGUGUAGACCAGACUAAAACAACAACAACAAAACCUAUAUCCUCUGACGUAAAUUAGUUUCUCUGUUUCUCAAUUCCAAGAACGCAGAGAACAGACUUGCAUUCUCAUGGAGCCUGGUCUUGUCUGUGGCCUGUUGCUCAAAGCCGGUUUCACCCAGGUACAUUGAGCUAACGUGAAGUGCUAGCGGGUACCGCAACUACAUGUGAGAGGCUGCCUUUGUUCCUGAGAGACAGGCCUCGUGUUGUGGUUGACCACAUCAUGGAUCGCCAUCUCAAGGCCAUGUCCUACCGCCGGGAAGAUGUCACAGUGCACAGUGUAGUUUAAAGGAUUAGUCCAUUAUUCAAAUUAAAAAUUUAAAAGCACAUUUUAACAAUUGUAUUAAUGGCCACAAAAUAAUUAUAAAAUGGGGGGUUACUUGAUCUUAAAAAGGUCUUUAAAAAGUCUUAUAUCUAAUAUCAUAAAACUUGCAGAAACCUUAUAGUCAGUUGCAAACUUAGACUGUACGAAAAAGUAACUAAAUGUAAAGCUAACUUUGCAUUGCAUGUUGCUGUAGACCGCAAUUAAAACUGUCAAGGUGAUGAUACACGGGGCAACUUUUUGAGCCGGGCAGUGUUUCCGAGCGAUUUUGCUUGGGCACUUUCCCAUUGAGAAUGGGCAACAAAUUUCUAUCUGGAUACUUUAGAUCAACAUUUGUUGCCCAUUCUCAAUGGGAAAGUGCCCGGCAACAUUGCUCAAAAAGUUGCUCCGUGUAUAUCACCUUCAGCUGUACUAGUUGUGGCUUGUUGUUAUUGAUUUUGACUUCUAUGACAAACUUUAAUCUUUGCUUUUUUAAUGGGUAUUUAAAAAGAGAUGCUUUUAAAGACCUUUCAAACACAAAUGAAUAAAGAAAAAAGAAGGAAAUCCUUACUUCUCCCACAGUUGACAAGAAACACAGUAUUGGACAUGUUUAUCUGAAGCACAUCUGAGGCCUGGGAUUUUUUUUUUAAUCAUCUCUUCACUGCCACAGGUCUUGUCUUGCUCUGUGCACACUGGCUUUGCAAGACAAUAUGCGAGUUGGGUUGUCAUUUGUGAUUCAGCCUCAUUUGCUCUUCCAGCAUGACCAAGGAGGGUUCCUGGAUUCCUGUGAAGGUUGCGGUGAGAUACCGGCCUCUGGUUCUCAAAGAGAUAAGGGAUGGAUGUCAGUACAGUAUUAAUUUUGUACCUGGUAAACCUCAGAUCAUUGUUGGCAAUGACAAGGAUUUCAUCUUUGAUUAUGUGUUUGACCCCACAACGGAACAGGAGGAGGUUUUCAACACUGCUGUGUCUCCAUUGUCUGGGCUUUUUAAAGAUUUAUAAAGCAGUCCCACUAAGAUUUUGCAGAGCUCUGAUUUUUGCAGCCAAAAGUGGCUGACACCAUGCUGCUGCAACAAAAUUCAGUGAUGACAACAGCACAGAAAUAAGGUUGAAUGUCGGCCAUGUUGGUGUUUUCAUUAACUGGCCUCAGGGGACUUUUCAAAUCUUGAGAUUUCUGGAAUUCAUCAGAUCAAAAAGCCAGUCGAAUGUCUCCAGGAAUUUACAUGUUGGCUCACAGCCAUCAAAUUGGGGCAGCUGCAUGUGUCACUCACAAAUUCACUUUUUUUCUUGGUAGCACUGGUGCUCCCAACUUCAAAUAUUUAGGAGCACCAACAAAGAUUUUAGGAGAACCCACCAAUAAUUAAGGAGCCCCACAACUACAAUUUAUAAUAGAGGUCAACCAAUAUAGGUUUUUCCCUGGCCGAUGGCGAUAUUUAGAAAUCAGAGAAGCCGAUAUAUGAUGCCUUUUUUUUUUUUUGUCUGAUUUUCUGUUUUUCCCCCUUUCAUCUCAUAAAAUCUUUCAGUUAAGUAAUAAAUGAUACAGAAAAUUGCUUAAAUGAAAUAAUUAUUGAACAUCACAAGCCUUUACAUUUUAUUAAAUGUAAAGUUUUAUUAAAUGGAUUAUAUAGGCUGUAGCGCAAAAGCGAGCCUUUUACAAUCACUAAAACACUGUUGCUUUGUCAGCUCAUCGUGAUCUCACAAAGUUCCUUUAUAUUCAGUGAAGCUGAACUGUUUGUUAAUGAGAGGUUUUGUGAGCCUGCAUAACUUGGCACUGAAUAAAACUCUGAUUCUGACUAAAUUAAAUACCUCUGAUUGGCCAUUGCGUUCAAGAGAUCACCAACUGUCAACCACUGCAAAAAUUGUAAAUAGAUACAUUUUACGUUCUCCAG